RNAcentral lists this ribosomal RNA (463 nucleotides) under Neelus koseli. RNAcentral describes it as "partial 16S ribosomal RNA". It matches the Rfam family "Bacterial large subunit ribosomal RNA", at positions 1826 to 2600 of the family's 2925-position model. Lineage: Eukaryota; Metazoa; Arthropoda; Collembola; Neelipleona; Neelidae. The record is from RNAcentral.
UUCAUUUUUUAUAGAUAAAAUGUAAGGUCUGCCCACUGAAUUUUGAAGGGCCGCGGUAUUAUGACCGUGCUAAGGUAGCAUAAUCAUUAGUCUCUUAAUUAGAGAAUGGAAUGAAUGAUUUAACUUUUUGGUGUUUUAUUGAUUAAAUUAAGUUGAAUUUAAAUAGUUGAGUGAAAAUUCUUAAAUGUUUCUUUUGGACGAUAAGACCCUAUAGAUCUUUAUUAAAAAUUAGUUGUUUAGAGGAAAUAAUUUUUUUAUUUAACUGGGGUGAUUAAUUAAAUUCUAAUUUUUAAAAACUUAUAUAUCCUGUUAUACGGAAGAAUAAGAUACCUUAGGGGUAACAGCGUAAUUUAUUAAUAGAGUUCUUAUCGAUUAAUAAUUUUGCGACCUCGAUGUUGAAUUAAAUAAAUUUUAUGGGGUAGAUUUUAUUGAAAUUAGUCUGUUCGACUAUUAAAUUUUUACA